This 77-nucleotide transfer RNA is filed under the name Candidatus Dormiibacterota bacterium. RNAcentral's name for it is "tRNA-Ile". It matches the Rfam family "tRNA". From Rfam's summary of the family: Transfer RNA (tRNA) molecules are approximately 80 nucleotides in length. The record is from RNAcentral. RNAcentral also lists the same sequence under 5 other names. Lineage: Bacteria; Bacillati; Candidatus Dormiibacterota.
GGGCCUUUAGCUCAGGUGGUCAGAGCGCACGGCUGAUAACCGUGAGGUCUGUGGUUCGAGUCCACAAAGGCCCACCA